RNAcentral lists this ribosomal RNA (492 nucleotides) under uncultured bacterium. RNAcentral describes it as "partial 16S ribosomal RNA". It matches the Rfam family "Bacterial small subunit ribosomal RNA", at positions 29 to 507 of the family's 1533-position model. The record is from RNAcentral.
AGUGAACGCUGGCGGUAGGCCUAACACAUGCAAGUCGAACGGCAGCACAGUAAGAGCUUGCUCUUACGGGUGGCGAGUGGCGGACGGGUGAGGAAUACAUCGGAAUCUACUUUUUCGUGGGGGAUAACGUAGGGAAACUUACGCUAAUACCGCAUACGACCUACGGGUGAAAGCAGGGGAUCUUCGGACCUUGCGCGAUUGAAUGAGCCGAUGUCGGAUUAGCCAGUUGGCGGGGUAAAGGCCCACCAAGGCGACGAUCCGUAGCUGGUCUGAGAGGAUGAUCAGCCACACUGGAACUGAGACACGGUCCAGACUCCUACGGGAGGCAGCAGUGGGGAAUAUUGGACAAUGGGCGCAAGCCUGAUCCAGCCAUACCGCGUGAGUGAAGAAGGCCUUCGGGUUGUAAAGCCCUUUUGUUGGGAAAGAAAAGCAGCAGGUUAAUACCCCGCUGUUCUGACGGUACCCAAAGAAUAAGCACCGGCUAACUUCGUG